This is a long non-coding RNA of Lontra canadensis (Northern American river otter), 272 nucleotides long. RefSeq lists it as uncharacterized. The transcript is spliced from 3 exons. The record is from RefSeq and is a predicted model, not a curated record. NCBI's taxonomy places the organism in Eukaryota, Metazoa, Chordata, Mammalia, Carnivora, Mustelidae.
CUUUAUUGGCAUCAUUUUGAGCCUGUGUUGAUGGCUUCUCACAAGCACAUGCUUCCUCUCUAGCUUGAAAAUGCGGAUGUCCUUCAUUACCUACUCCACACAGGGCCACACCCUUAUGACGCUCACAUCAGACAGAAAUGAAAUAAGUGAUGGUCUCACUAAACUCCAGAAUAUAGUGCCUACCGGAGCCACAAAUAUGCAGGAAGGAUUUAAAAAGGCAAAUGAGCAGAUUGAACAAGAAAAUGCCAAAGGUAAGUUGCCUGGUGACUUCA